AAGACCUUGCACUUUUGGAGCGGCCGAUGUCUGAUUAGCUAGUUGGUGGGGUAAUGGCCUACCAAAGCUUCGAUCAGUAGCUGGUCUGAGAGGACGGCCAGCCACACUGGGACUGAGACACGGCCCAGACUCCUACGGGAGGCAGCAGUGGGGAAUUUUGGACAAUGGGCGCAAGCCUGAUCCAGCCAUGCCGCGUGAGUGAAGAAGGCCUUCGGGUUGUAAAGCUCUUUCAGCCGGAACGAAACGGUUACGGUUAAUACCCGUGACUACUGACGGUACCGGAAGAAGAAGCACCGGCUAACUACGUGCCAGCAGCCGCGGUAAUACGUAGGGUGCAAGCGUUAAUCGGAAUUACUGGGCGUAAAGCGUGCGCAGGUGGUUUUGUAAGUCAGACGUGAAAUCCCCGGGCUUAACCUGGGAACU
This 423-nucleotide ribosomal RNA is filed under the name uncultured bacterium. RNAcentral describes it as "bacterial SSU rRNA". It matches the Rfam family "Bacterial small subunit ribosomal RNA", at positions 207 to 622 of the family's 1533-position model. The record is from RNAcentral.